Molecule: long non-coding RNA, 1465 nt
Organism: Scylla paramamosain (green mud crab)
Lineage: Eukaryota; Metazoa; Arthropoda; Malacostraca; Decapoda; Portunidae
Exons: 3
Source: RefSeq, a predicted model, not a curated record
AGGCUCGCAUGAUUGGUGACGUCACAGAACCUCGAGCACGCGGCGAGCCAGUGGACAACAAGAAGUGGGGUAGGAGAGGUGUCAUAAAUUUUAAUCAACAGUCGAGAAGAAAAGUUAGCCAGACGUCCAUCACUAUUUGAACAUGAGAGACCUGGAAAAGAGAGAGGAGGAAAAAGGAAAUUAAAUCAAUGCAUCAACAGCCAUACCACACCACCUUUGGACCGAGCGUGUAACCUGAUUCCUUACCUGACCUCACCUGACACAUUACCUGAGCCUUACCUGUGCCUCACCUGCCGGUCCUUUCUUCAGUACCUGCAGCUUUAGUCAUAUGCUACACCUGUUGAAAAGUCCGUGACCUCUGGCAGGAACGAGGCAGGUGGGUGGCUGGGAGACAUAUGUGACCUGACUUUAGCUUCCUGUUGACCUGGUAGCUUGAGGUAAAAAGGAAAGAAUGACAAAGAAAAUGGAAUAAAUAUUGUUUGACUUAGAAGAGAGUGAAAACGGGAAGGAUAUGAAGUAGGAAAAUGGGGAAAUGGAAGGAAAUAAUGGAAAUAUUGAAUUGUUACUUUUGGAAAAAAAAAAAUAUGGAAGGAUUGAAGAAGAAAAGAAAAAAAAAAUAUUAUAGGUGAGUUAAAAGGGUCAAGAUUUUGAUUGAAAUGAACGUAACUGAAGUGAAGGGUUUUCGUCCAUGAAGGGCUGAAAGAAAUACACCAUUUCUGAACCUGAAAGUGCAGUGAAGUGAAGUGCUUUUGGUUGAAUUGAGCGUAACUGAAGUGAAAGUUUUUCGUUCGUGAAGGCCUGAAAAAAACCUGGUGAAGUGAAGUGAAGUGAAGUGGCUUAAUGAGUGAAGUGAUCAGCAAGACUGGACUCCCUGCCGUGCCCACCCUGAACAGAAGACCAGCACGCGCACGCAGAUCAUCUGCAAUACAAGUUAUGUGCUUCACCCAAAUUGCUGCCGCUCUGGAAUACUCAACAAAAAGUUACGGACAACACCACAUCCGCACACACGCACAGAGUUGACUUAGAUUCACCUCUUCCGCACACGACUCACGGUCAGUGUGGGUACCGGAGCCGGACACCAGCUGAGUCCGGUUCACACAUGAGGGGAUGGGAGUGAGGUCAUAGUUGAAGCGGAGACUGGGUGCAGAAUCCACAAAAACGUAAUAGUGUGAACCGGCCUUCAGGUGACGGCUCGCACCGCACCUCACCUCACCUGACCCUCGCCAAGUGUCUGUCACUUGGGGAAACACGCAUACAUCCCUUUCUCUUUCCUCCCUUGCGAUUAUCACAAAGGGACAUGCUAAUCUUUCCGUCUUCGCCUCACGCUCUCUUAAUGUAGCAGAUAAAUAGCACCUGACCUCUGCAUCGGGAGGGAUCCAUCACAUCAAGGCCCGCGUCACCUUGUCUUUUCAAGGUGACAAUCAACACACACACUCCAUCGGGAGGGCAGUUCAGGGCCAGACUC